This 293-nucleotide ribosomal RNA is filed under the name uncultured Acidobacteriota bacterium. Its description in RNAcentral is "uncultured Acidobacteria bacterium partial 16S ribosomal RNA". The record is from RNAcentral. Lineage: Bacteria; Pseudomonadati; Acidobacteriota.
GGACUACCCGGGUAUCUAAUCCCGUUCGCUCCCCUGGCUUUCGCGCAUCAGCGUCAGUGUCGGCCCAGCAACCCGCCUUCGCCGCAGGUGUUCCUCUCGAUAUCUACGCAUUUCACCGCUACACCGAGAAUUCCAGUUGCCCCUUCCGCACUCUAGCCCUGCAGUAUCGGUUGACCGUUCCGAGUUAAGCCCGGAGAUUUCACAACCGACUUGCAGUGGCCGCCUACGCGCCCUUUACGCCCAGUAAAUCCGAACAACGCUUGCUCCCCCCGUAUUACCGCGGCUGCUGGCAC